ACUCAAAGGAAUUGACGGGGACCCGCACAAGCGGUGGAUGAUGUGGAUUAAUUCGAUGCAACGCGAAAAACCUUACCUACCCUUGACAUGUCAGGAAUCCCGAAGAGAUUUGGGAGUGCUCGAAAGAGAGCCUGAACACAGGUGCUGCAUGGCUGUCGUCAGCUCGUGUCGUGAGAUGUUGGGUUAAGUCCCGCAACGAGCGCAACCCUUGUCAUUAGUUGCUACGCAAGAGCACUCUAAUGAGACUGCCGGUGACAAACCGGAGGAAGGUGGGGAUGACGUCAAGUCCUCAUGGCCCUUAUGGGUAGGGCUUCACACGUCAUACAAUGGUGCAUACAAAGGGCUGCCAACCCGUGAGGGGGAGCCAAUCCUCUAAAGUGCAUCGUAGUCCGGAUUGGAGUCUGCAACUCGACUCCAUGAAGUUGGAAUCGCUAGUAAUCGCGGAUCAGCAUGUCGCGGUGAAUACGUUCCCGGGUCUUGUACACACCGCCCGU
RNAcentral lists this ribosomal RNA (494 nucleotides) under uncultured bacterium. RNAcentral describes it as "bacterial SSU rRNA". It matches the Rfam family "Bacterial small subunit ribosomal RNA", at positions 899 to 1397 of the family's 1533-position model. The record is from RNAcentral.